This 468-nucleotide ribosomal RNA is filed under the name uncultured bacterium. Its description in RNAcentral is "partial 16S ribosomal RNA". It matches the Rfam family "Bacterial small subunit ribosomal RNA", at positions 28 to 507 of the family's 1533-position model. The record is from RNAcentral.
GACGAACGCUGGCGGCGUGCUUAACACAUGCAAGUCGAACGGAAAGGCCCUGCUUUUGUGGGGUGCUCGAGUGGCGAACGGGUGAGUAACACGUGAGUAACCUGCCCUUGACUUUGGGAUAACUUCAGGAAACUGGGGCUAAUACCGGAUAGGAGCUCCUGCUGCAUGGUGGGGGUUGGAAAGUUUCGGCGGUUGGGGAUGGACUCGCGGCUUAUCAGCUUGUUGGUGGGGUAGUGGCUUACCAAGGCUUUGACGGGUAGCCGGCCUGAGAGGGUGACCGGCGACAUUGGGACUGAGAGACGGCCCAGACGCCUACGGGAGGCAGCAGUGGGGAAUAUUGCACAAUGGGCGGAAGCCUGAGGCAGCAGCGCCGCGUGCGGGAUGACGGCCUUCGGGUUGUAAACCGCUUUCGCCUGUGACGAAGCGUGAGUGACGGUAAUGGGUAAAGAAGCACCGGCUAACUACGUG